This 253-nucleotide ribosomal RNA is filed under the name uncultured bacterium. RNAcentral describes it as "partial 16S ribosomal RNA". It matches the Rfam family "Bacterial small subunit ribosomal RNA", at positions 524 to 776 of the family's 1533-position model. The record is from RNAcentral.
UACGUAGGGUGCAAGCGUUAAUCGGAAUUACUGGGCGUAAAGCGUGCGCAGGCGGUUUUGUAAGUCUGACGUGAAAUCCCCGGGCUCAACCUGGGAAUGGCGAUGGAAACUGACGAGCUUGAGUGUGGCAGAGGGGGGUGGAAUUCCGCGUGUAGCAGUGAAAUGCGUAGAGAUGCGGAGGAACACCGAUGGCGAAGGCAGCCCCCUGGGCUAGCACUGACGCUCAUGCACGAAAGCGUGGGGAGCAAACAGG